RNAcentral lists this ribosomal RNA (397 nucleotides) under uncultured bacterium. RNAcentral's name for it is "bacterial SSU rRNA". It matches the Rfam family "Bacterial small subunit ribosomal RNA", at positions 361 to 775 of the family's 1533-position model. The record is from RNAcentral.
AUAUUGCACAAUGGGGGAAACCCUGAUGCAGCGACGCCGCGUGAGCGAAGAAGUAUUUCGGUAUGUAAAGCUCUAUCAGCAGGGAAGAAAAUGACGGUACCUGACUAAGAAGCUCCGGCUAAAUACGUGCCAGCAGCCGCGGUAAUACGUAUGGAGCAAGCGUUAUCCGGAUUUACUGGGUGUAAAGGGAGCGUAGACGGCGAGGCAAGUCUGAUGUGAAAGGCAGGGGCUUAACCCCUGGACUGCAUUGGAAACUGUCAGGCUAGAGUGCCGGAGAGGUAAGCGGAAUUCCUAGUGUAGCGGUGAAAUGCGUAGAUAUUAGGAGGAACACCAGUGGCGAAGGCGGCUUACUGGACUGUAACUGACGUUGAGGCUCGAAAGCGUGGGGAGCAAACAG